GGUGGCUUCCUGGCCUAAGUACUCUUCGACAUAACUCCUUUAAAAACCUUUUUUAUUUCUUUUAGGCCAGUUCCACCCUUGCAGUACUGCCCAUUAUAAAACCUGACAACACCAUACGGACAGUCCUGAAAACUAAAACCAAGUUGUGUUACUUUUUAAAUAGAUACCACACAGAGCCUCGUCCAGCCUUGCGUAUCAUCAAUUCACUUCAACACAGUAACAUUUCAAAACAGGGAAAACUAAUUGACAGCCUGAAGGCUAAAUCCAGUUCCACAAGAUGGUUUUACUUGGAUCCCACCAUGGCCUAGAGCAACACUACGCAUCAGGUACUGUGCUAAACAAUUUGCUCAGCCCACAGGAGAGCUGGAAAGAAAGAAAAGG
RNAcentral lists this long non-coding RNA (381 nucleotides) under Manacus vitellinus (golden-collared manakin). Its description in RNAcentral is "lncRNA (ENSMVIG00005005302.1)". Lineage: Eukaryota; Metazoa; Chordata; Aves; Passeriformes; Pipridae. The record is from RNAcentral.